CGGCGCGGACCUCCUUGUCAAUGGGAACGCGGGGCCCGGCUGCCCGCAGGGCGGUCAGGUUGCUAGGAACAGUUAUGUAGAUCUACCAGGUGCAGAGAAGCACUCCACACCCUCACCCAGGUCCUGUAUCCCUGCAAGACUGCGUUGGAAAGUCUGAAGAGCAUCCACUCCCUCAAAGGUGAAAACCAGAAAUUGGCAGUAGAUGAUAUGCAACUAUUAAAUAUAAUGUGAAGCUUUAGUCUCAAUAGAUUUGGACAAAUAAUAAAUGAAAGUAAUUUUCAAAACUGAAGGGAAGUAAUACCAAAAAAGUCAGCAGAGUGAAAAGAACACUGGAUAGAAUGAAGAGACAAGACUUUUAGUCUCUGGCCAACUUUGGG
RNAcentral lists this long non-coding RNA (377 nucleotides) under Gorilla gorilla gorilla (western lowland gorilla). RNAcentral's name for it is "lncRNA (ENSGGOG00000044283.1)". Lineage: Eukaryota; Metazoa; Chordata; Mammalia; Primates; Hominidae. The record is from RNAcentral.